Zophobas morio is the source of this 401-nucleotide long non-coding RNA. RefSeq lists it as uncharacterized. Lineage: Eukaryota; Metazoa; Arthropoda; Insecta; Coleoptera; Tenebrionidae. The transcript is spliced from 3 exons. The record is from RefSeq and is a predicted model, not a curated record.
UCAGUUAUACUGUUACAAUUUUUGUGGUUUACUUUCCGCCAUCUCUCUAAAUUGAUUACUUUCGAUCUGUUCUUGAUAGUCAGUUGAAUGGUUCAUCAGGAAGCUUUAGUGAUAAUGUUACACUGACGGAGGGACCAGAUCAUCUUCAACUUAUGCAUUCAUUCUGGAAUUUUUCCGAACAUUUGGAAAAUAUCUAAAAUUAUUCCAAUCCAGAAAGAUUAAUAAUUAUAGUACACCUCACCAAUACGGUUUUAUGCAUGGCAGAUCCACGACAACAAAUCUUUUCUGGGUUACUCAGUUUAUUCUGAUUCCAUUGAUGACGGUUGUCAAACUGAUGUUACUUAUUUGGAUAUCUCAAAAGUGUUUGACAAGUUAGAUUAAUAAACUCAGUGAUUUCGGUU